UAGUCGAAGGAUAAGAUUUGCUUUUAAAC
RNAcentral lists this ribosomal RNA (29 nucleotides) under Acinetobacter baumannii 25253_5. Lineage: Bacteria; Pseudomonadati; Pseudomonadota; Gammaproteobacteria; Moraxellales; Moraxellaceae. The record is from RNAcentral.